Molecule: ribosomal RNA, 890 nt
Filed under: uncultured bacterium
Lineage: Bacteria
Description: bacterial SSU rRNA
Rfam family: Bacterial small subunit ribosomal RNA
Source: RNAcentral
CGAAUUCGCCCUUCCAGAGUUUGAUCCUGGCUCAGGACGAACGCUGGCGGCGUGCCUAAUGCAUGCAAGUCGCACGCGGGGAGCUUGCUCCGCCGCGUGGCGCAUGGCUGAGGACCACGUGGGUACCAACCCCGGAGUGGGGGAUACCCCAUCGAAAGAUGGGACAAUCCCGCAUACGAUCCGCAAGGAUGAAAGCAGCGAUGCGCUCUGGGACGGGCCUGCGGCCCAUCAGGUAGUUGGUGUGGUAAUGGCGCACCAAGCCAGUGACGGGUCCCUGGUCUGAGAGGACGACCAGGCAGACUGGGACUGAGACACGGCCCAGACUCCUACGGGAGGCAGCAGCAAGGAAUUUUCCCCAAUGGGCUCACGCCUGAGGGAGCAACGCCGCGUGCAGGACGACGGCCUUCGGGUUGUAAACUGCUUUUAGGGGGGAAGACCACGACGGUACCCCCUGAAUAAGCCCCGGCUGACUCCGUGCCAGCAGCCGCGGUAAGACGGAGGGGGCAAGCGUUGUCCGGAAUCACUGGGCGUAAAGCGCGCGUAGGUGGUCGUGUGCGUCGGUGCUGAAAGCGCCGGGCUUAACCCGGCGAGGUGCAGCGAUACGACACGACUCGAGGCAGGGAGAGGGUGGCGGAAUUCCGGGUGUAGUGGUGAAAUGCGUAGAGAUCCGGAGGAACGCCAGUGGUGAAGACGGCCACCUGGCCCUGACCUGACACUGAGGCGCGAUAGCGUGGGGAGCGAACCGGAUUAGAUACCCGGGUAGUCCACGCCGUAAACGAUGCCGGCUCGGUGCUUGGGGACCGUUCAGGUCCCUGGGUGCCUCAGCUCACGCGGUAAGCCGGCCGCCUGGGGAGUACGAGCGCAAGCUUAAAACUCAAAGGAAUUGACGG